AUUGAACGCUGGCGGCAUGCUUUACACAUGCAAGUCGAACGGCAGCGCGGGCUUCGGCCUGGCGGCGAGUGGCGAACGGGUGAGUAAUACAUCGGAACGUGCCCAGUAGUGGGGGAUAGCUCGGCGAAAGCCGGAUUAAUACCGCAUACGACCUGAGGGUGAAAGCGGGGGAUCUUCGGACCUCGCGCUAUUGGAGCGGCCGAUGGCAGAUUAGCUAGUUGGUGGGGUAAAGGCCUACCAAGGCGACGAUCUGUAGCUGGUCUGAGAGGACGACCAGCCACACUGGGACUGAGACAUGGCCCAGACUCCUACGGGAGGCAGCAGUGGGGAAUUUUGGACAAUGGGCGAAAGCCUGAUCCAGCAAUGCCGCGUGCGUGAUGAAGGCCUUCGGGUUGUAAAGCACUUUUGGCGGGAACGAAAAGGACUGUGCCAAUACCACGGUUCGAUGACGGUACCCGCAGAAUAAGCACCGGCUAACUACGUG
Molecule: ribosomal RNA, 484 nt
Filed under: uncultured bacterium
Lineage: Bacteria
Description: partial 16S ribosomal RNA
Rfam family: Bacterial small subunit ribosomal RNA
Source: RNAcentral